Molecule: ribosomal RNA, 523 nt
Filed under: bacterium E-2-0-6E
Lineage: Bacteria
Description: bacterial SSU rRNA
Rfam family: Bacterial small subunit ribosomal RNA
Source: RNAcentral
CAGCCAUGCCGCGUGUGUGAAGAAGGCCUUUUGGUUGUAAAGCACUUUAAGCGAGGAGGAGGCUACUCUAGUUAAUACCUAGAGAUAGUGGACGUUACUCGCAGAAUAAGCACCGGCUAACUCUGUGCCAGCAGCCGCGGUAAUACAGAGGGUGCAAGCGUUAAUCGGAUUUACUGGGCGUAAAGCGCGCGUAGGUGGCCAAUUAAGUCAAAUGUGAAAUCCCCGAGCUUAACUUGGGAAUUGCAUUCGAUACUGGUUGGCUAGAGUAUGGGAGAGGAUGGUAGAAUUCCAGGUGUAGCGGUGAAAUGCGUAGAGAUCUGGAGGAAUACCGAUGGCGAAGGCAGCCAUCUGGCCUAAUACUGACACUGAGGUGCGAAAGCAUGGGGAGCAAACAGGAUUAGAUACCCUGGUAGUCCAUGCCGUAAACGAUGUCUACUAGCCGUUGGGGCCUUUGAGGCUUUAGUGGCGCAGCUAACGCGAUAAGUAGACCGCCUGGGGAGUACGGUCGCAAGACUAUAACUCA